AAACUUAAAUGAAUUGACGGGACCCGCACAAGCGGUGGAUGAUGUGGUUUAAUUCGAUGCAACGCGAAAACCUUACCCACCUUUGACAUGUACGGAACUUGCCAGAGAUGGCUUGGUGCUCGAAAGAGAGCCGUAACACAGGUGCUGCAUGGCUGUCGUCAGCUCGUGUCGUGAGAUGUUGGGUUAAGUCCCGCAACGAGCGCAACCCUUGCCAUUAGUUGCUACGAAAGGGCACUCUAAUGGGACUGCCGGUGACAAACCGGAGGAAGGUGGGGAUGACGUCAAGUCCUCAUGGCCCUUAUAGGUGGGGCUACACACGUCAUACAAUGGCCGGUACAAAGGGUAGCCAACCCGCAAGGGGGAGCCAAUCCCAUAAAGCCGGUCGUAGUCCGGAUCGCAGUCUGCAACUCGACUGCGUGAAGUCGGAAUCGCUAGUAAUCGUGGAUCAGCAUGUCACGGUGAAUACGUUCCCGGGGCUU
RNAcentral lists this ribosomal RNA (479 nucleotides) under uncultured Hydrogenophaga sp. RNAcentral describes it as "bacterial SSU rRNA". It matches the Rfam family "Bacterial small subunit ribosomal RNA", at positions 897 to 1382 of the family's 1533-position model. Lineage: Bacteria; Pseudomonadati; Pseudomonadota; Betaproteobacteria; Burkholderiales; Comamonadaceae. The record is from RNAcentral.